Molecule: ribosomal RNA, 471 nt
Filed under: Salmonella enterica
Lineage: Bacteria; Pseudomonadati; Pseudomonadota; Gammaproteobacteria; Enterobacterales; Enterobacteriaceae
Description: bacterial SSU rRNA
Rfam family: Bacterial small subunit ribosomal RNA
Source: RNAcentral
AAAUUGAAGAGUUUGAUCAUGGCUCAGAUUGAACGCUGGCGGCAGGCCUAACACAUGCAAGUCGAACGGUAACAGGAAGCAGCUUGCUGCUUCGCUGACGAGUGGCGGACGGGUGAGUAAUGUCUGGGAAGCUGCCUGAUGGAGGGGGAUAACUACUGGAAACGGUGGCUAAUACCGCAUAACGUCGCAAGACCAAAGAGGGGGACCUUCGGGCCUCUUGCCAUCAGAUGUGCCCAGAUGGGAUUAGCUAGUUGGUGAGGUAACGGCUCACCAAGGCGACGAUCCCUAGCUGGUCUGAGAGGAUGACCAGCCACACUGGAACUGAGACACGGUCCAGACUCCUACGGGAGGCAGCAGUGGGGAAUAUUGCACAAUGGGCGCAAGCCUGAUGCAGCCAUGCCGCGUGUAUGAAGCAGGCCUUCGGGUUGUAAAGUACUUUCAGCGGGGAGGAAGGUGUUGUGGUUAAUAACC